UACGUAGGGGGCAAGCGUUGUCCGGAUUUACUGGGCGUAAAGAGCGCGCAGGCGGUCGUUCAAGUCGAGUGUGAAAGCCCCCGGCUCAACUGGGGAGGGUCAUUCGAUACUGAUCGACUCGAAGGCAGGAGAGGGAAGUGGAAUUCCCGGUGUAGUGGUGAAAUGCGUAGAUAUCGUAAGGAAGACCAGUGGCGAAGGCGGGUCUCUGGACAGUUCCUGACGCUGAGGCACGAAGGCCAGGGGAGCAAACGGG
This 253-nucleotide ribosomal RNA is filed under the name uncultured bacterium. RNAcentral describes it as "partial 16S ribosomal RNA". It matches the Rfam family "Bacterial small subunit ribosomal RNA", at positions 524 to 776 of the family's 1533-position model. The record is from RNAcentral.